This 200-nucleotide ribosomal RNA is filed under the name uncultured bacterium. RNAcentral describes it as "partial 16S ribosomal RNA". It matches the Rfam family "Bacterial small subunit ribosomal RNA", at positions 8 to 187 of the family's 1533-position model. The record is from RNAcentral.
AGAGUUUGAUCAUGGCUCAGGAUGAACGCUGGCGGCGUGCUUAACACAUGCAAGUCGAACGAAGCACUAAGAGCGGAACUCUUCGGAGGGAAGCAAUUAGUGACUGAGUGGCGGACGGGUGAGUAACGCGUGGAUAACCUGCCUCAUACAGGGGGAUAACAGCCAGAAAUGGCUGCUAAUACCGCAUAAGCGCACAAGGC